Small nuclear RNA from Dromiciops gliroides (monito del monte), 157 nucleotides. RefSeq annotates it as U1 spliceosomal RNA. The transcript has a single exon. The record is from RefSeq and is a predicted model, not a curated record. NCBI's taxonomy places the organism in Eukaryota, Metazoa, Chordata, Mammalia, Microbiotheria, Microbiotheriidae.
AGAUGUGCUAGUGACUCCAUGAUCACAAGGGUGAUUUCUUUAGGGAGAGGCUUUUCCAUUGCACUCUAGAAGAGCUGACCCCUGAGCUUUCCCCAGAUGUUGGAAACUCAACUGCAUAAUUUGUGGGGUAGAUACACAGAUACAUAGCUGGUAUCUG